Molecule: long non-coding RNA, 744 nt
Filed under: Pan troglodytes (chimpanzee)
Lineage: Eukaryota; Metazoa; Chordata; Mammalia; Primates; Hominidae
Description: long non-coding RNA NONPTRT008101
Source: RNAcentral
CCGCCCUUUCCGUGAAGUCACGCCGGUCCUUAGGCUGUCUCUGUCUCCCUAAAAGCGAGUCUCUUCGCUGCUCUCUAACUCCUAGAGCUGGCUCAGAAAGAGUUUCACAUUGCCAUAGGGGAGCUCCUAGGAGAGGCUGCACCCAUUGCACGUAAGAAGCGGUAAAAAUGUACGCGGCCAUCUUACCAGGCUGCCGGAGACAAAGAAAGCUCAGCUUUGAUGUCUGGGCGCCACCAUGUUGGCCACAGGAGGUUUUGGCAUCUGAGAGGCUGAGUUAAGAGCAGAGACGACAUCUCUGUUUAGGGAUCCAGGGGCACUUGCUUCUCCUUGUCCUAAAAUAGCCUUAUCUUUUGGUCUAGCAAAGGGCUUAAUCAUCCGUUUUACGGCACAGUUUUAAACAUGGCCGCCCCCGGUAGGAGUCAAGUGGGCGUCGCCAUCAUACCUCCAAUUACAGCUUUGAGAAACCCAGAAUCCUGUUCACUGGAAGGUUGCCGGGUGGCGGCUGACAGCCUCAAAAGUCGCAAUUGAGUCUGCGCACCGGCCAUUCAGGAUGGGACGACCUUAUACCGCGGUUCUUUCUGGCAAAGGUAAUGACAUACGCAUCUGUGACAGCAUCCCAAGAGUGAGCCUGGUUUCUGGAAAUCCAUUCUGACUCUGUGACAGCGGGGAUGGAUGUGACCUUGCCCGUGGUUAGAAAACAAAUUUACUGAAAGAUUUCCCUUUUCUUCAUCUGGAGGAUAUCAG